GAUGAACGCUGGCGGCGUGCCUAAUACAUGCGAGUCGAGCGAACAGAUGAGGAGCUUGCUCCUCUGACGUUAGCGGCGGACGGGUGAGUAACACGUGGAUAACCUACCUAUAAGACUGGGAUAACUUCGGGAAACCGGAGCUAAUACCGGAUAAUAUAUUGAACCGCAUGGUUCAAUAGUGAAAGACGGUUUUGCUGUCACUUAUAGAUGGAUCCGCGCCGCAUUAGCUAGUUGGUAAGGUAACGGCUUACCAAGGCGACGAUGCGUAGCCGACCUGAGAGGGUGAACGGCCACACUGGAACUGAGACACGGUCCAGACUCCUACGGGAGGCAGCAGUAGGGAAUCUUCCGCAAUGGGCGAAAGCUUGACGGAGCAACGCCGCGUGAGUGAUGAAGGUCUUCGGAUCGUAAAACUCUGUUAUUAGGGAAGAACAAAUGUGUAAGUAACUAUGCACGUCUUGACGGUACCUAAUCAGAAAGCCACGGCUAACUACGUG
Molecule: ribosomal RNA, 497 nt
Filed under: uncultured bacterium
Lineage: Bacteria
Description: partial 16S ribosomal RNA
Rfam family: Bacterial small subunit ribosomal RNA
Source: RNAcentral